UACAGAGGGCUCAAGCGUUGUUCGGAUUCAUUGGGCGUAAAGGGUGUGUAGGUGGCGCGCUAAGUCGGGUGUGAAAUUUCGGAGCUUAACUCCGAAACUGCAUUCGAUACUGGCUUGCUUGAGGACUGGAGAGGAGACUGGAAUUUACGGUGUAGCGGUGAAAUGCGUAGAUAUCGUAAGGAAGACCAGUGGCGAAGGCGGGUCUCUGGACAGUUCCUGACGCUGAGGCACGAAGGCCAGGGGAGCAAACGGG
RNAcentral lists this ribosomal RNA (253 nucleotides) under uncultured bacterium. RNAcentral's name for it is "partial 16S ribosomal RNA". It matches the Rfam family "Bacterial small subunit ribosomal RNA", at positions 524 to 776 of the family's 1533-position model. The record is from RNAcentral.